UACGUAGGUGGCAAGCGUUGUCCGGAAUUAUUGGGCGUAAAGCGCGUGUAGGCGGUUGUUCAAGUCAGGUGUGAAAGCCUUGAGCUCAACUCAAGAAAUGCACUUGAUACUGGAUGACUAGAGGACCGGAGAGGAUAGUGGAAUUCCCAGUGUAGUGGUGAAAUACGUAGAGAUUGGGAAGAACACCAGUGGCGAAGGCGGCUAUCUGGACGGUUUCUGACGCUAAGACGCGAAAGCGUGGGGAGCAAACAGG
Molecule: ribosomal RNA, 253 nt
Filed under: uncultured bacterium
Lineage: Bacteria
Description: partial 16S ribosomal RNA
Rfam family: Bacterial small subunit ribosomal RNA
Source: RNAcentral